GUUCCAUAAGUGCUCUAGAGCCUUGUGGCUUCUGAGUCUCUUUAGUCAUUUUGAAGACUCCCAGUGGUCUGCUCCAGAGCCCCUGAGCACACCUCUAUAUACCACUCCCUAGGGUCCACAGCAUUACGCUUUAAGAGAUCAGCAACUCACUUCCCCAGCCAAUGGUGGCCCUGGCUGAGAAUUGACAUCACAAAGCGCAAUCCUGAUACCUCUAGGGCAGAAUGGGGGGCAACUCAGAUGAUUUGAUGGGGGGGGGGAAUGCAUCACUUUUAAUGGCCCUUAGGAGCCCUCCAAACUCACCUGUCAUCCUCAUCUCUCUAAGUCAACUCUGUUGUGUCACAAGGCAGGGAGCAUGUGUCUCCUCCAAACCUUGACCCACAGCCACAGUACCGAGGCUUUGAUUCUGUUCUCUCCCACAUUUCACCAUCAUCUAGAUUGUAAUAUCUUGCCUAA
RNAcentral lists this small RNA (453 nucleotides) under Bos taurus (domestic cattle). The record is from RNAcentral. Lineage: Eukaryota; Metazoa; Chordata; Mammalia; Artiodactyla; Bovidae.